CUACGUGCCAGCAGCCGCGGUAAUACGUAGGGCGCGAGCGUUGUCCGGAAUUAUUGGGCGUAAAGGGCUUGUAGGCGGUUGGUCGCGUCUGCCGUGAAAUUCUCUGGCUUAACUGGGGGCGUGCGGUGGGUACGGGCUGACUUGAGUGCGGUAGGGGAGACUGGAACUCCUGGUGUAGCGGUGGAAUGCGCAGAUAUCAGGAAGAACACCGGUGGCGAAGGCGGGUCUCUGGGCCGUUACUGACGCUGAGGAGCGAAAGCGUGGGGAGCGAACAGGAUUAGAUACCCUGGUAGUCCACGCUGUAAACGUUGGGCACUAGGUGUGGGGGCCACCCGUGGUUUCUGCGCCGUAGCUAACGCUUUAAGUGCCCCGCCUGGGGAGUACGGCCGCAAGGCUAAAACUCAAAGGAAUUGACGGGGGCCCGCACAAGCGGUGGAGUAUGUGGUUUAAUUCGACGCAACGCGAAGAACCUUACCAGGUCUUGACAUUGAUGGACAGAACUAGAGAUAG
This 510-nucleotide ribosomal RNA is filed under the name uncultured bacterium. RNAcentral's name for it is "bacterial SSU rRNA". It matches the Rfam family "Bacterial small subunit ribosomal RNA", at positions 501 to 1009 of the family's 1533-position model. The record is from RNAcentral.